UACAAGUUAAAUAAUUACUCUAAUGCACAUAUAAAACGUGAGAGGAAAUCUGUACGUAUCUGUACUUGGUACGGCCUCUGUGUCCAGACAGGAAACCUCUAUCGCCAGUCAAAACAUGCUCGUCCCACUCCGACUUCAUCGCUCACCGCCGACCAUCAUCACUCCAUCUCAAGAAAUUCUUCAAUCCACCACAUCUCUCUCUCUCUCUCUCUCUCUCGCGCGCGCGCGCACACACACACACACACAAACACACACACACACACAAACACGCUUAUCUAUUAUGUACCUGUCUGCGUAAAUAUACUGUCUGAAUUUUUGCUUAAGGGAAGUCAAUUGCUGAUUUCAUUUGUGGGCUGUGAUGAUGAUGUAAUGGUUUUAGAGUAGACUCUUUUUUCUUUUUUGCUUAUGAUCAUGUAGUUUAUGUUGAUGGGAUGUGCUUUAUUAUUUGAACUGAUUGUUCAAUUUUCAUUUUGCGGUUUCAAUUUUUGGUUAAUUUACUGAGUUGAGAUGAUAAAGAAUUCGUCUUGCUGAGUUCUGGAUGUUUGUGGAUUUUCAGCUGCUUUUUAUUUAGCAUUUGCAAUUCGGUAGAAUAUCAAGAAUUGAUGCAUGGAAUAGAAAUUGGAUUUCAUUGAAAUUAAGCUUUCUAUUGAAUGAUUGGGAUCUUACCGCAUGCAGGCUAUUGUAGUGAUUCUCAAGUUAAACAUUCACAUUUUCAGGAUAUUCAUGCUUUUAGUUGAACAUUCAGUUUGGAUUUAGGGAAAAUCUUUGUCCGGAUCAGGUUUGUUGAACCAAACUAAUUUCAAAGUAUGUGUAUCACACUUACUCUGUGAUUGAUCAUUUUUUCUGAACUAUACACGUAUCACGCUACAAGUAUAUUGCACUUGCUAGAAGAUUGGUUUAAGUUCGACCAAGUUAGGUGCUGGUUAGAAUUUCCUUGAAUUGUAGGAGGGAUAUAGUUCACUUGAAUAGAAACUGUUUGUGCUAUAUUUUUUCAGUAUAAACUUGAUUGUGUUCUCCUUCCUGUAAAAGUAUGCUGACCGGCAGGAGCUUUUAUCAAAAAAUAAAGAUGUUAGUGUCGAUCAACUGCUGCUGAUAUUUGGUUUGGUUCCAAAGGCUUUGCUCUGAUUGGUUUCUUGUUUGAAAACUUGGACGUGUAAGUCGACCGUAAGGAAAGAACCUUCAGCAAAGCCUAAUGGCACUCCUCAGCCAGUAGAUGUUAGCAAGCAGGUUGCUGCAGGCAUUCAUAGUAGCACAGCAAGCAACAUCCAGAGUUGGUCAAAGUACUUGCAAUUUCAUCACGGACCAACCAUCAAUAAAGGUCCAUGCCGCCCCGGAGGAGGUUCUUUGGUUUACCUGUUUGGUGGUGAUAGCAAUUAAGACAUCUGGGGAACUGAUGAUGAAGUGUUUUUUGUGAGUUGAUGUAAAACCUCAAAUGAUAUGGUCGUCAAAUGCUUUUACCGUUGUGUUUAUGGUCGUCAAAGACUUAAUAUAUGUAUUCUCAAAUGCAAGGGUUGCUGUCUGAAGAUAUGACAAACUUUUGGAUGCAAAAACAUCAAUCAAAAGGAUCAAUUCAUUUUUAAAACAACAAAGUAAUGUUCUCCGUUGUAUCUUAUGCUUUUCUAAGUUUUAUGCUUGAAGAUGGCGUAGUUAUGCAGUAAUACCACUUCUGUGCCUGCACAAACCACCCAACCACUGAAAGCUUUUCAAGUUAAGGCUUGUGUAAGGGCAAAGGUUAACUAAUCGAGUUGGAAACGAAGCACUAAAGAGUAUUCCAAACAAAAAGACGGAGGACAACAAUCUGAGUAGGGCAAAAUGUCAAUUCACUGAAUAUUAUGUUGUAAAAUUACCAGUAGAAUGGAUAAAAGGACUUACAUAUAGACGAGCUUUCUGCUACUAAGCUAGAAGCAAUCUUCUCAACAUAAAUGUACUAUCUUUAUACAAGAAAAGUUUUUGUUUUAUUUUAAUUUCAACUGAAAAGCAAGGACAUACCAGGAUGGAGUGCAACCAACGCAUUAUCAAUCUCAGGUGGCAGUUUGUUGCGGGGGAGGAGCAGGGAUGAUUCCCCAUCUUCGACGAACAUCUUCCAA
This is a long non-coding RNA of Sesamum indicum (sesame), 2087 nucleotides long. RefSeq lists it as uncharacterized. The record is from RefSeq and is a predicted model, not a curated record. NCBI's taxonomy places the organism in Eukaryota, Viridiplantae, Streptophyta, Magnoliopsida, Lamiales, Pedaliaceae.